UGUUCCGCACAUUUUCAUUUAUUUUCGUAUUAAACUGUUUGAUAAUCUUUCAGCUGACAUACAAAACACAAACAUACAUGCAAAUUUGUCACGAACAAAUCGAGGCGAAAACACAAACUGAAGUUAACCAAAUUGAUGAAUUAAUCAUAACUUUAGAAAUCUAUCCACAUGACGCGGCCAGUAUGGGGCGCCAAGUGUAAAUUUAUUAUUCAGUUGAAAAACGGGUGAACUUUUCGGUUAUUUAUAAAAAUGGAAUAAAGAUGACAUUAUUUAUAUAUAAUAACUUUUAGAG
Molecule: non-coding RNA, 292 nt
Organism: Paramuricea clavata
Lineage: Eukaryota; Metazoa; Cnidaria; Anthozoa; Malacalcyonacea; Plexauridae
Source: the annotation of a GenBank genome assembly